UGGUUCUGGCAUCGAUGAAGAACGCAGCGAAAUGCGAUAAGUAAUGCGAAUUGCAGAGCAGUGAGUCAUCGAAUCUUUGAACGCACAUUGCGCCCUUUGGCAUUCCGGAGGGCAUGCCUGUCCGAGCGUCAUUAACAACCCUCAAGCCUGGCUUGGUGUUGGACCGUGCUUAAUUCGUUAAAGACGGUCCCAAAGAUAAUGGCGGAGUCGUGUUGGACCCGAGAUGCAACGAGCUUUUUAAGCACGCAUUAGAGGGCCGGGCGACCUGGUCUUACCUAAAUUUUCUCAAGGUUGACCUCGGAUCAGGUAGGGAUACCCGCUGA
RNAcentral lists this unclassified non-coding RNA (323 nucleotides) under uncultured fungus. Its description in RNAcentral is "partial contains 5.8S ribosomal RNA and internal transcribed spacer 2". The stretch from base 1 to 131 matches the Rfam family "5.8S ribosomal RNA", at positions 22 to 154 of the family's 154-position model. Lineage: Eukaryota; Fungi. The record is from RNAcentral.